This 482-nucleotide ribosomal RNA is filed under the name marine sediment bacterium ISA-2627. RNAcentral describes it as "bacterial SSU rRNA". It matches the Rfam family "Bacterial small subunit ribosomal RNA", at positions 37 to 500 of the family's 1533-position model. The record is from RNAcentral.
UGGCGGCGUGCCUAAUACAUGCAAGUCGAGCGGAUUGAUGGGAGCUUGCUCCCUGAUAUCAGCGGCGGACGGGUGAGUAACACGUGGGUAACCUGCCUGUAAGAUCGGGAUAACUCCGGGAAACCGGGGCUAAUACCGGAUAAUUCAUUCCCUCGCAUGAGGGAGUGUUGAAAGAUGGCUUCUUGCUAUCACUUACAGAUGGACCCGCGGCGCAUUAGCUAGUUGGUGAGGUAACGGCUCACCAAGGCGACGAUGCGUAGCCGACCUGAGAGGGUGAUCGGCCACACUGGGACUGAGACACGGCCCAGACUCCUACGGGAGGCAGCAGUAGGGAAUCUUCCGCAAUGGACGAAAGUCUGACGGAGCAACGCCGCGUGAGUGAUGAAGGUUUUCGGAUCGUAAAACUCUGUUGUUAGGGAAGAACAAGUACCGUUCGAAUAGGGCGGUACCUUGACGGUACCUAACCAGAAAGCCACGGCUAA